UUUAACUAUAUUCAGAUUUCUCUCUAUUGUAAGGAUUUUGAUUGAAGAUUUUUGUGAUGUUCAUUAUUGUGGAAUUCUCUUGACAAUAUUAUUAUGUUCAUCUGUCCCAAGCAUUAAAGUUCUAAGGGUCAAUAACUUUACACAGGAUCUUUUUAUUUUAUUUUAUUUUAUUUUUUCUGUUUUUCCCUCCCAAGUAAUAAACUUUACUGGGGUUAGUAAUGUUUUCAAGUCGUCAGAUUUACUUGUUCUGCAGCCUAACACAUACUUUACUAGGGGUAGUAAAGUUUCCAGAACCUCAGUUUUUGUUGUUCUGCACCCUAGAACAUACUUUACUAGGGGUAGUAAUGUUUACAGAACCUCAGUUUUUGUUGUUCUGCACUCAGUAAUAAACUUUACUGGGGGCAGUAAUGUUUCCAGAACCUCAGUUUUUGUUGUUCUGCACCGUAGAACAUACAUUACUAGGGGUAGUAAUGUUUCCAGAGUAUCAGAUUUUGUUGUUCUGCAGCCUAACACAUAUUUUACUAGGGGUAGUAAAGUUUCCAGAACCUCAGUUUUUGUUGUUCUGCACCCUACAACAUACUUUACUAGGGGUAGUAAUAUUUCCAGAACCUCAGUUUUUGUUGUUAUGCACCCUAGAACAUACUUUACUAGGGGUAGUAAUGUUUCCAGAACCUCAGUUUUUGUUGUUCUGCACCCUAGAACUUACUUUACUGGGGGUAGUAAUGUUUCCAGAGCAUAAAAAACACAACUAAGGGGGUAGUAAUGUUGUUCUGCACCCAGUAAUAAACUUUACUGGGGGUAGUAAUGUUUCCAGAGUAUCAGAUUUACUUGUUCUGUAGCCUAAGACAUACUUUACUGGGGGUAGUAAUGUUUCCAGAGUAUCAGAUUUACUUGUUCUGCAGCCUAAGACAUACUUUACUAGGGGUAGUAAAGUUUCCAGAACCUCAGUUUUUGUUGUUCUGCACCCUAGAACAUACUUUACUAGGGGUAGUAAUGUUUCCAGAACCUCAGUUUUUGUUGUUCUGCACACUAACAUAUACUUUACUAGGGGUAGUAAUGUUUCCAGAGUAUCAGAUUUUGUUGUUCUGCACCCAAACACAUACUUUGCUGGGGGCAGUAAA
RNAcentral lists this long non-coding RNA (1121 nucleotides) under Fragaria vesca (wild strawberry). RNAcentral describes it as "long non-coding RNA (FVES_LNC005658)". The record is from RNAcentral. Lineage: Eukaryota; Viridiplantae; Streptophyta; Magnoliopsida; Rosales; Rosaceae.